UUAAAUGUUCUUCGUGAACGUAGCGAACUGCUCAGUAGCACGUGGAUAACCUACCCUUAGGACCGGAAUAACCCCGGGAAACUGGGGAUAAUACCGGAUAAGCCAUAGACGCUGGAAUGCCCUAUGGUUCAAAGCUCCGGCGCCUAAGGAUGGAUCUGCGGUCUAUCAGGUUGUAGUGGGUGUAACGUACCUACUAGCCGACGACGGGUACGGGUUGUGAGAGCAAGAGCCCGGAGAUGGAUUCUGAGACACGAAUCCAGGCCCUACGGGGUGCAGCAGGCGCGAACACUUUACAAUGCGGGAAACCGCGAUAAGGGAACCCCGAGUGCCAGCAUCAAAUGUUGGCUGUCCAGAUGAUUAAAAAUCAUUUGUUAGCAAGGGCCGGGCAAGACCGGUGCCAGCCGCCGCGGUAACACCGGCGGCCCGAGUGGUAGCCGUUUUUAUUGGGUCUAAAGGGUCCGUAGCCGGCCUGAUAAGUCCUUUGGGAAAUCUGGCAGCUUAACUGUCAGGCUUCUAAGGGAUACUGUCAGGCUUGGGACCGGAAGAGGUAAGGGGUACUCCAGGGGUAGGAGUGAAAUCUUGUAAUCCCUGGGGGACCAUCUGUGGCGAAGGCGCCUUACCAGAACGGGUCCGACGGUGAGGGACGAAAGCUAGGGGAGCAAACCGGAUUAGAUACCCGGGUAGUCCUAGCUGUAAACGAUGCUCGCUAGGUGUCAGACACGGUGCGACCGUGUUUGGUGCCGCAGGGAAGCCGUUAAGCGAGCCACCUGGGAAGUACGGUCGCAAGGCUGAUACUUAAA
This 800-nucleotide ribosomal RNA is filed under the name uncultured archaeon. RNAcentral's name for it is "bacterial SSU rRNA". It matches the Rfam family "Archaeal small subunit ribosomal RNA", at positions 58 to 860 of the family's 1478-position model. The record is from RNAcentral.